CCUACGGGAGGCAGCAGUGGGGAAUUUUGGACAAUGGGCGCAAGCCUGAUCCAGCCAUGCCGCGUGAGUGAAGAAGGCCUUCGGGUUGUAAAGCUCUUUCGGCCGGGAAGAAAUCGCAUUCUCUAAUAUAGGGUGUGGAUGACGGUACCGGACUAAGAAGCACCGGCUAACUACGUGCCAGCAGCCGCGGUAAUACGUAGGGUGCGAGCGUUAAUCGGAAUUACUGGGCGUAAAGCGUGCGCAGGCGGUUUUGUAAGACAGAUGUGAAAUCCCCGGGCUUAACCUGGGAACUGCGUUUGUGACUGCAAGGCUAGAGUACGGCAGAGGGGGGUGGAAUUCCUGGUGUAGCAGUGAAAUGCGUAGAUAUCAGGAGGAACACCGAUGGCGAAGGCAGCCCCCUGGGCCUGUACUGACGCUCAUGCACGAAAGCGUGGGGAGCAAACAGGAUUAGAUACCCUGGUAGUCCACGCCCUAAACGAUGUCGACUAGUCGUUCGGAGCAGCAAUGCACUGAGUGACGCAGCUAACGCGUGAAGUCGACCGCCUGGGGAGUACGGCCGCAAGGUUAAAACUCAAAUGAAUUGACGG
This 587-nucleotide ribosomal RNA is filed under the name uncultured bacterium. RNAcentral describes it as "bacterial SSU rRNA". It matches the Rfam family "Bacterial small subunit ribosomal RNA", at positions 338 to 916 of the family's 1533-position model. The record is from RNAcentral.